GACGAACGCUGGCGGCGUGCUUAACACAUGCAAGUCGAACGAAGAGCGAUGGAAGCUUGCUUCUAUCAAUCUUAGUGGCGAACGGGUGAGUAACGCGUAAUCAACCUGCCCUUCAGAGGGGGACAACAGUUGGAAACGACUGCUAAUGCCGCAUACGAUCUGACCUCGGCAUCGAGGAUAGAUGAAAGGUGCCUCUAUUUAUAAGCUAUCACUGAAGGAGGGGAUUGCGUCUGAUUAGCUAGUUGGAGGGGUAACGGCCCACCAAGGCGAUGAUCAGUAGCCGGUCUGAGAGGAUGAACGGCCACAUUGGGACUGAGACACGGCCCAGACUCCUACGGGAGGCAGCAGUGGGGAAUCUUCCGCAAUGGACGAAAGUCUGACGGAGCAACGCCGCGUGAGUGAUGACGGCCUUCGGGUUGUAAAGCUCUGUUAAUCGGGACGAAAGGCCUUCUUGCGAAUAGUUAGAAGGAUUGACGGUACCGGAAUAGAAAGCCACGGCUAACUACGUG
RNAcentral lists this ribosomal RNA (509 nucleotides) under uncultured bacterium. RNAcentral describes it as "partial 16S ribosomal RNA". It matches the Rfam family "Bacterial small subunit ribosomal RNA", at positions 28 to 507 of the family's 1533-position model. The record is from RNAcentral.